Molecule: ribosomal RNA, 882 nt
Filed under: uncultured candidate division WS6 bacterium
Lineage: Bacteria
Description: bacterial SSU rRNA
Rfam family: Bacterial small subunit ribosomal RNA
Source: RNAcentral
AAGGUAUGCAAGUCGAACGAUCCCUUUCUGAUUUCUUGAAGCUUCGGCUGAUAGUUUUCUAUUUGGGAUAGUGGCAAACGGGUGAGUAACACGUAGAUAACUUGCCUCGAAGUCGGGGAUAGCUCGUCGAAAGACGGGGUAAUAUCCGAUGGUCUCUAAUCACUUCGUGUGUUUUAGAGUAAAGCUUUUGUGCUUCGAGAGAGGUCUGCGUCCUAUCAGCUAGUUGGUGAGGUAAUGGCUCACCAAGGCUAAGACGGGUAGCUGGUGUGAGAGCACGGUCAGCCACCAUGGAACUGAGACACGGUCCAUACUCCUACGGGAGGCAGCAAUUAGGAAUCUUGCGCAAUGGGGGCAACCCUGACGCAGCGACACAGCGUGGAGGAUGAAGGUCUUCGGAUUGUAAACUCCUUUUAUAUGGGAAGAAUAGAUGACUGUACCAUAUGAAUAAGGACCUGCUAACUACGUGCCAGAAGCAUCGGUGAUGCGUAGGGUCCGAACGUUAUCCGGAUUUAUUGGGUGUAUAGAGAUGCGUAGGCGGUUUGAUAAGUCUUGAGUUAAAGACCUCGGCUCAACCGAGGAAAAGCUUUCGAUACUAUCAGACUUGAGGCAUAGAGGGGUGAACGGAAUUCCGAGUGGAGUGGUGAAAUACGUUGAUAUUCGGAGGAACAUCAGUGGCGAAGGCGGUUCACUGGCUAUUGCCUGACGCUCAGGCUCGAAAGCGUGGGUAGCAAAACGGAUUAGAUACCCGUGUAGUCCACGCUGUAAACUAUGGAUGCUAGGUGUUUGGUACAACGGCUUUUAAUCUUCGGAUUUUAAACGGGAGUGCUGAGUGCCGCAGCUAACGCGUUAAGCAUCCCACCUGGGAAGUACGGNCGCAAGGCU